RNAcentral lists this ribosomal RNA (481 nucleotides) under uncultured bacterium. RNAcentral describes it as "partial 16S ribosomal RNA". It matches the Rfam family "Bacterial small subunit ribosomal RNA", at positions 28 to 507 of the family's 1533-position model. The record is from RNAcentral.
GAUGAACGCUGGCGGCGUGCUUAACACAUGCAAGUCGAACGAAGCACUUUAUUUGAUUUCCUUCGGGACUGAUUAUUUUGUGACUGAGUGGCGGACGGGUGAGUAACGCGUGGGUAACCUGCCUUGUACAGGGGGAUAACAGUUGGAAACGGCUGCUAAUACCGCAUAAGCGCACGGCAUCGCAUGAUGCAGUGUGAAAACCUCCGGUGGUAUAAGAUGGACCCGAGUUGGAUUAGCUAGUUGGUGAGGUAACGGCCCACCAAGGCGACGAUCCAUAGCCGACAUGAGAGGGUGACCGGACACAUUGGGACUGAGACACGGCACAAACUCCUACGGGAGGCAGCAGUGGGGAAUAUUGCACAACGGGCGAAAGCAUGAUGCAGCGACGCCGCGUGAGCGAAGAAGUAUUGCGGUAUGUAAAGCUCUAUCAGCAGGGAAGAUAAUGACGGUACCUGACUAAGAAGCACCGGCUAAAUACGUG